This 442-nucleotide ribosomal RNA is filed under the name uncultured Anaerolineaceae bacterium. RNAcentral's name for it is "bacterial SSU rRNA". It matches the Rfam family "Bacterial small subunit ribosomal RNA", at positions 925 to 1382 of the family's 1533-position model. The record is from RNAcentral. Lineage: Bacteria; Bacillati; Chloroflexota; Anaerolineae; Anaerolineales; Anaerolineaceae.
ACAAGCAGCGGAGCGUGUGGUUUAAUUCGUUGCUACACGAAGAACCUUACCUGGGUUUGACAUUAUAGGUUGUAGGGAACUGAAAAGGGACCGACCUUCGGGAGCCUAUACAGGUGUUGCAUGGCUGUCGUCAGCUCGUGUCGUGAGAUGUUCGGUUAAGUCCGCUAACGAGCGCAACCCUCGUCGUAUGUUAUAUGUGUCAUACGAGACUGCCGGUAAAAGCCGGAGGAAGGUGAGGAUGAUGUCAAGUCAGCAUGACCUUUAUAUCCAGGGCUACACACACGCUACAAUGGUCUGUACAAUGGGUAGCCAAGCCGCGAGGCGGAGCCAAUCCUGAAAGCAGGCCUCAGUCCAGAUUGCAGUCUGCAACUCGACUGCAUGAAGCCGGAGUUGCUAGUAACCGCAGGUCAGCAAUACUGCGGUGAAUACGUUCCCGGGUCUU